Molecule: long non-coding RNA, 506 nt
Filed under: Setaria viridis
Lineage: Eukaryota; Viridiplantae; Streptophyta; Magnoliopsida; Poales; Poaceae
Description: long non-coding RNA (SVIR_LNC000609)
Source: RNAcentral
ACAGGCGCAAGCGAGCAGUGUGCGAGCGAGCUGGGCCAACUUCUGGCUGGCGGCUAGUUGGCGAGGGUGCACGAGCUUGGGCCGGUAGCGACUUGGCGGCUAGCUAGGCCGAAGCGUAGCGCGACCGAGCUGGCGAGCGAGGCCACAUGCGGGCGAAGGUGGGUCACAUGUGCCGAAGGUUAGUGGGCCGGCCUGGUUAGGGUGUUAGGUUAGUUUAGGCAAAAUUCAAACAACACUCAAACAUGAACUCCAAAGAAAAUCCAAAAGGUCCAAAUCAGGCCACACAAAUUUUUAAAUGGAAUUUAGGGAUGAGAGAAAAAUUAACUAGCUUUUCAAACUAGCACACAAUUCAAACAAAAAGUUUUAAAUUUUUUCAAAUUUCACUCAUACAAAUAUUACAAAUUUUUUGGAACAUUACAGUCUUCCCCCUAAGAGAAUCUCGUCCUCAAGAUUUAAUCUUCGACCUCCUCCUCAAACAAAUGUGGAAACUCCUUCCUCAAAUCGGC